Molecule: ribosomal RNA, 670 nt
Filed under: uncultured Actinomycetes bacterium
Lineage: Bacteria; Bacillati; Actinomycetota; Actinomycetes
Description: bacterial SSU rRNA
Rfam family: Bacterial small subunit ribosomal RNA
Source: RNAcentral
CAUGCAAGUCGAACGAUGAUGGGAGCUUGCUCCUGGAUUAGUGGCGAACGGGUGAGUAACACGUGAGUAACCUGCCCUUAACUCUGGGAUAAGCCUGGGAAACUGGGUCUAAUACCGGAUAUGACUCCUCAUCGCAUGGUGGGGGGUGGAAAGCUUUAUUGUGGUUUUGGAUGGACUCGCGGCCUAUCAGCUUGUUGGUGAGGUAAUGGCUUACCAAGGCGACGACGGGUAGCCGGCCUGAGAGGGUGACCGGCCACACUGGGACUGAGACACGGCCCAGACUCCUACGGGAGGCAGCAGUGGGGAAUAUUGCACAAUGGGCGCAAGCCUGAUGCAGCGACGCCGCGUGAGGGAUGACGGCCUUCGGGUUGUAAACCUCUUUCAGUAGGGAAGAAGCGAAAGUGACGGUACCUGCAGAAGAAGCGCCGGCUAACUACGUGCCAGCAGCCGCGGUAAUACGUAGGGCGCAAGCGUUAUCCGGAAUUAUUGGGCGUAAAGAGCUCGUAGGCGGUUUGUCGCGUCUGCCGUGAAAGUCCGGGGCUCAACUCCGGAUCUGCGGUGGGUACGGGCAGACUAGAGUGAUGUAGGGGAGACUGGAAUUCCUGGUGUAGCGGUGAAAUGCGCAGAUAUCAGGAGGAACACCGAUGGCGAAGGCAGGUCUCUGGGCAUU